RNAcentral lists this ribosomal RNA (456 nucleotides) under uncultured Chloroflexota bacterium. RNAcentral's name for it is "bacterial SSU rRNA". It matches the Rfam family "Bacterial small subunit ribosomal RNA", at positions 323 to 795 of the family's 1533-position model. Lineage: Bacteria; Bacillati; Chloroflexota. The record is from RNAcentral.
GACCCGGCCCCCCCUCCUACGGGAGGCAGCAGCAGGGAAUCUUGCGCAAUGGGCGAAAGCCUGACGCAGCGACUCCGCGUGCGGGAAGAAGGCCUUCGGGUUGUAAACCGCUUUUCUGAGGGAAGAGAAAGGACGGUACCUCAGGAAUAAGCCUCGGCUAACUACGUGCCAGCAGCCGCGGUGAUACGUAGGAGGCAAGCGUUGUCCGGAUUUUCUGGGCGUAAAGGGCGUGUAGGCGGUACAGAAAGUCUUUGCUUAAAUAUCCCGGCUCAACUGGGAAAGUGGCAGAGAUACUUUUGAACUAGAGGGCAGUAGAGGAGAGCGGAAUUCCCGGUGUAGUGGUGGAAUGCGUAGAUAUCGGGAGGAACACCAGUGGCGAAAGCGGCUCUCUGGGCUGUACCUGACGCUGAGGCGCGAAAGCGUGGGUAGCAAACCGGAUUAGAUACCCUGGUAGUC